CUACGGGGGGCAGCAGUGGGGAAUAUUGCACAAUGGGCGCAAGCCUGAUGCAGCCAUGCCGCGUGUAUGAAGAAGGCCUUCGGGUUGUAAAGUACUUUCAGCGGGGAGGAAGGGAGUAAAGUUAAUACCUUUGCUCAUUGACGUUACCCGCAGAAGAAGCACCGGCUAACUCCGUGCCAGCAGCCGCGGUAAUACGGAGGGUGCAAGCGUUAAUCGGAAUUACUGGGCGUAAAGCGCACGCAGGCGGUUUGUUAAGUCAGAUGUGAAAUCCCCGGGCUCAACCUGGGAACUGCAUCUGAUACUGGCAAGCUUGAGUCUCGUAGAGGGGGGUAGAAUUCCAGGUGUAGCGGUGAAAUGCGUAGAGAUCUGGAGGAAUACCGGUGGCGAAGGCGGCCCCCUGGACGAAGACUGACGCUCAGGUGCGAAAGCGUGGGGAGCAAACAGGAUUAGAUACCCCCGUAGUC
Molecule: ribosomal RNA, 464 nt
Filed under: uncultured bacterium
Lineage: Bacteria
Description: partial 16S ribosomal RNA
Rfam family: Bacterial small subunit ribosomal RNA
Source: RNAcentral